CUUUACCUUUGCAGCCCGUUUUUUUAGAAGCGGGUAGUUCUUUGGAGAGGCGAAUUGGGAGGCGAGAAGGCAAAAGAAGUGUUAAACAGGAAAAUGGUUGUUGGAUGAAAGCCGGAUUGUUUUACCUUUGCAGCCCGAAUUUAGAACAGGUAAUAAGACAAGUAAGUUCUUUGAAAAUAUAGGUUAGCAGCAGACGGGGAAGUAGAGAGAGCGGGACAACGGAUUACAACGGAGAGUUUGAUCCUGGCUCAGGAUGAACGCUAGCGGCAGGCCUAACACAUGCAAGUCGAACGGUAGUCAGCAGCAAUGUUGACGAGAGUGGCGCACGGGUGCGUAACGCGUAUGUAACCUGCCCCAUACUGGGGGAUAGCCUCCCGAAAGGGAGAUUAAUACCCCAUGGUAAUACUGAGUUGCAUGACUUGGUAUUUAAAGCUGAGGCGGUAUGGGAUGGGCAUGCGUCCGAUUAGGUAGUUGGUAGGGUAAAGGCCUACCAAGCCUACGAUCGGUAGGGGAACUGAGAGGUUGGUCCCCCACACUGGUACUGAGACACGGACCAGACUCCUACGGGAGGCAGCAGUGAGGAAUAUUGGGCAAUGGCCGCAAGGCUGACCCAGCCAUGCCGCGUGCAGGAAGAAGGCCCUAUGGGUUGUAAACUGCUUUUCUCAGGGGGUAAACCCUCUUACGUGAUAGGAGGCUGAAAGUACCUGAGGAAUAAGCAUCGGCUAACUCCGUGCCAGCAGCCGCGGUAAUACGGAGGAUGCGAGCGUUAUCCGGAUUCAUUGGGUUUAAAGGGUCCGUAGGCGGUUUGUUAAGUCAGGGGUGAAAUCCUUCAGCUCAACUGAAGAAUUGCCUUUGAUACUGGCAGGCUAGAGUGCGACAGAGGUGGAUGGAAUGUGUCAAGUAGCGGUGAAAUGCAUAGAUAUGACACAGAACACCGAUUGCGAAGGCAGUUCACUGGGUCGCAACUGACGCUGAUGGACGAAAGCGUGGGGAGCAAACAGGAUUAGAUACCCUGGUAGUCCACGCCCUAAACGAUGAUCACUUGCUGUUGGUUCGUCAGAUGAAUCAGUGGCAAAGCGAAAGCGUUAAGUGAUCCACCUGGGGAGUACGGCCGCAAGGUUGAAACUCAAAGGAAUUGACGGGGGCCCGCACAAGCGGUGGAGCAUGUGGUUUAAUUCGAUGAUACGCGAGGAACCUUACCUGGGCUUAAAUGCAGGCUGACGGACUUGGAAACAGGUUUUUCCUUCGGGACGGCUUGCAAGGUGCUGCAUGGUUGUCGUCAGCUCGUGCCGUGAGGUGUUGGGUUAAGUCCCCUAACGAGCGCAACCCCUACCCUUAGUUACCAGCGGGAGAGCCGGGGACUCUAAGGGAACUGCCCCCGUAAGGGGAGAGGAAGGAGGGGAUGACGUCAAAUCAUCACGGCCCUUACGUCCAGGGCUACACACGUGCUACAAUGGCGGUUACAGAGGGCAGCCACCUGGCGACAGGGAGCUAAUCCUUAAAGACCGUCUCAGUUCGGAUUGGAGUCUGCAACUCGACUCCAUGAAGCUGGAAUCGCUAGUAAUCGCGCAUCAGCCAUGGCGCGGUGAAUACGUUCCCGGGCCUUGUACACACCGCCCGUCAAGCCAUGGGAGCCGGGGGUACCUGAAGUCGGUAACCGCAAGGAGCUGCCUAGGGUAAAACCGGUGACUGGGGCUAAGUCGUAACAAGGUAGCCGUACCGGAAGGUGCGGCUGGAAUACCUCCUUUUU
Molecule: ribosomal RNA, 1750 nt
Filed under: Schleiferia thermophila
Lineage: Bacteria; Pseudomonadati; Bacteroidota; Flavobacteriia; Flavobacteriales; Schleiferiaceae
Description: bacterial SSU rRNA
Rfam family: Bacterial small subunit ribosomal RNA (bases 226-1748)
Source: RNAcentral